GCAGUGCCGCACACAGAAGACGGAGCGAGUGACAAGGAGCAAAUUUCAGCGAGAAGAAGAAAGUGACGGCACCCUCAGAAGCAACAGGUGACGUGAGUGCAGGUGACAGUGGAAGGGAACACCGUCACAGUUACCCACCUGGGGGCGGAGAGACUUCCAGGGAAAUGUCAGUAUGCAACAUUAUCACUGGAGGAUGAGGCAGCUACCGCCAAUACCGGCUAAUACCACACCACCUCACCCUUUAGAGCAGUGGUUCUCAACCUUUUUUUAUUUUUUUAUUUCAAGUACCCCCUAAUCAGAGCAAAGCAUCUUUGGUUGAAAAAAAGAGAUAAAGAAGUCAAAUACAGCACUAGAGUUUUCCUUUCCCUUAUGUGGGCUCUACCGAGGAUGUCGUUGUGGUUUGUGCAGCCCUUUGAGACACUAGUGAUUUAGGGCUAUAUAUAAGGACGGCGUGGCGCAGUGGGAGAGUGGCCGUGCGCAACCCGAGGGUCCCUGGUUCAAAUCCCACCUAGUACCAACCUCGUCACGUCCGUUGUGUCCUGAGCAAGACACUUCACCCUUGCUCCUGAUGUGUGCUGGUUGGCGCCUUGCAUGGCAGCUCCCUCCGUCAGUGUGUGAAUGUGUGUGUGAAUGGGUAAAUGUGGAAGUAGUGUCAAAGCGCUUUGAGUACCUUGAAGGUAGAAAAGCGCUA
Long non-coding RNA from Nerophis ophidion (straightnose pipefish), 691 nucleotides. RefSeq lists it as uncharacterized. Lineage: Eukaryota; Metazoa; Chordata; Actinopteri; Syngnathiformes; Syngnathidae. The transcript is spliced from 3 exons. The record is from RefSeq and is a predicted model, not a curated record.